UCUAAAUAUUUAUUAUUCUAUUUUUUUACUAUUUUAUUUAUUUACUAUCUGUUGUCAUGUUAAAAGUGGACUUUAGUUACAUUUCAUGUAAUUUAAGAGAUGAAUUCAUGAUUGGUUAUCAAUGACAAGGCUUCAUUUAUAACUAUUGACUUGAUCAGUGAAUUUUCCAGAAUGAACUUGAGGCUGCUAAAUCUGAGAUUCAAAGUUGGCAUUCUUCAAUUCAAAAUGAGCCUUGUGUACCUGCUGGUGCCACUCCUGAGCCCAAAAUGUUGCUUGAUUUUCUUCAGGCCCUGAAAUCCUCAGAGGAGUCUUUAAGAGAGCAGCUUGAAAAGGCAAAGAAAAAGGAAGCUGCGUUCAUUGUAACAUUUGCAAAACGAGAACAAGAGAUAGCAGAGUUGAAGGUAUCAUGCUCAAAAUAAGUUUUUUUCUAUAGCAUGGCUGUAUAUGUGCAAUUACAUUUUUUUCUGACAUCAACUUUGACCACCUGAGUAAAAUUUAUUUCCACCCUUUUAAGAAUACUAACAAAUUUACCCACUCUUCAAUGCUAGUCAAG
This is a non-coding RNA of Arachis ipaensis, 553 nucleotides long. Lineage: Eukaryota; Viridiplantae; Streptophyta; Magnoliopsida; Fabales; Fabaceae. The record is from RefSeq and is a predicted model, not a curated record.